GGGACCCGUCUUGAAACACGGACCAAGGAGUCUAGCAUGUGCGCGAGUCAUUGGGACUCUAACGAAACCUAAAGGCGUAAUGAAAGUGAAGGUCCGCCUAGCGCGGGCCGAGGGAGGAUGGGUGACCCCGAGGGGCGCCCCGCACUCCCAGGGCGUCUCGUUCUCAUUGCGAGAAGAGGCGCACCAAGAGCGUACACGCUGGGACCCGAAAGAUGGUGAACUAUGCCUGGUCAGGACGAAGUCAGGGGAAACCCUGAUGGAGGUCCGUAGCGAUUCUGACGUGCAAAUCGAUCGUCGGAACUGGGUAUAGGGGCGAAAGACUAAUCGAACCAUCUAGUAGCUGGUUCCCUCCGAAGUUUCCCUCAGGAUAGCUGGCGCUCGCUUCUCGCGAGUCUCAUUCGGUAAAGCGAAUGAUUAGAGGCAUUGGGGUCGAAACGGCCUCAACCUAUUCUCAAACUUUAAAUGGGUGAGAUCUCCGGCUUGCUUGAACUGUGAAGCCGCGAGAUAUCGGAUCAGAGUGCCAAGUGGGCCACUUUUGGUAAGCAGAACUGGCGCUGUGGGAUGAACCAAACGCUGAGUUAAAGCGCCUAAAUCGACGCUUAUGGGAUACCAUGAAAGGCGUUGGUAACUUAAGACAGCAGGACGGUGGCCAUGGAAGUCGGAAUCCGCUAAGGAGUGUGUAAA
RNAcentral lists this ribosomal RNA (684 nucleotides) under Chiloloba acuta. RNAcentral's name for it is "eukaryotic LSU rRNA". It matches the Rfam family "Eukaryotic large subunit ribosomal RNA", at positions 644 to 1286 of the family's 3401-position model. The record is from RNAcentral. Lineage: Eukaryota; Metazoa; Arthropoda; Insecta; Coleoptera; Scarabaeidae.